Molecule: non-coding RNA, 31 nt
Filed under: Mus musculus (house mouse)
Lineage: Eukaryota; Metazoa; Chordata; Mammalia; Rodentia; Muridae
Source: RNAcentral
UAGCCAACACCGACUACUCUGUGGUCCUUCU